Molecule: long non-coding RNA, 349 nt
Organism: Bos taurus (domestic cattle)
Lineage: Eukaryota; Metazoa; Chordata; Mammalia; Artiodactyla; Bovidae
Source: Ensembl
GUACUUAGCUAAACCUUGGCCCCGUGCUAGCGACAAUGAGCAGCAUCUGGAGAGGAGAACUGGUUGCCAAGUCUUUCCCAGAGGCCCCCUCUUUCUUGCAGGUGGCUCAGCGGUAAAGAAUCCACCUGCAAUUCAGGAGUUGUGGGUUCGAUCCCUGGGUCAGGAAGAUCCCCUGGAGAAGGAAAUGGCAACCCACUCCAGUAUUCUUACCUGGACAAUCCCAUGGGCAGAAGAGCUUCGAGGGCUAUAAUCCAUGGGGUGGCAAAAGAGUCGGACACGACUUAGUGACUAAACAACAACAACUCUUUGGCAAAGGGAACUAUGCUCAGUAUCUUAUAAUAAACUAUAC